This is a long non-coding RNA of Dermochelys coriacea (leatherback sea turtle), 960 nucleotides long. RefSeq lists it as uncharacterized. The record is from RefSeq and is a predicted model, not a curated record. The transcript has 4 exons. NCBI's taxonomy places the organism in Eukaryota, Metazoa, Chordata, Testudines, Dermochelyidae.
CAUACGGAACUGAAAGUUGUCUUUAUGCAUAACAUAUAAAAUAACACUUACAAGAAGAACAUAGCAAAACAAUGUCCUUUUUGUGAACAGGGGCCUAACUGUAAACUUUAUUGCUUUUCCAGAAAUACAUUAUUAAAUAUGUCUCUGAAGCCUGGCUUUGAUCCUGUUCCUCUUUUCCCUGGAAUUCUGUUCCUGUAUCCAUUGUACAGGAUAGUUUAAUAAAAAAAACAGUGAAAGCAUCUGAAACGUAGUGUAUGGGAUUCAGCUGGAGCUGCUAGAGGUGGUGAUGUCCUCAGGAUCCCUCUCUCUGCCCUGGUCUGGUCAGAAUCAGGAUGACAAAGGCUCAGGAUCCCAGAAGAUGGUGAGAGACCAGCCAUGAUGAUUGCAACUUUAAUGCUGAAGCUUGGCACUGAAUCAUGCAGUGUGUCCACAUUGCUGCGUGUGCCAUUUUCUUUACUCAUACUACAAUCCCCUUUGUCGUCAUUGCUGCUGCCCCACACUGUACAGCCCUACCACAACCAUAGCCCAGUUAAGAUCUUCAGCCACUAUGACUUUAUUGAGGAUCUUGCAUGUUUCCUCAUUGAUUGUUUGGGUUGAGAUUUCUUUGCAAAAUAAAGGAGUUCUUCAACUGUUGUACCUGCUUGUACAAGCCUUGUGUAACAAACGCUGAGUCAUAUUGGCUAUGACUGUGGAUUUAUCAAGCUGCAGUGCAAAAUAUUGACUCUUCUUCAAGUGGUCUAUCAACUGGUCCUGAACAUUUUACACAACGUCAUCAAUGCAUCGAUGGAUGGUAUUAUUUAACAUAGGAAUGGUUUUCAGUGCGGUGAGUGCAUGUUUACCUAUCAUAAUUCUACAUGUAUAUUGCUGUUGGAAGUGGAAGGGUCUCAUAAAAAACAUUUUGGCUGCAGAAUUCCAAAGAACCUGUAAACAUACUACCUUCACUUUGUGUGUACAUUUAUA